GCUUUCGGGUCGUAAAACUCUGUUGUUAGGGAAGAACAAGUGCUAGUUGAAUAAGCUGGCACCUUGACGGUACCUAACCAAAAAGCCACGGCUAACUACGUGCCAGCAGCCGCGGUAAUACCUACGUGGCAAGCGUUAUCCGGAAUUAUUGGGCGUAAAGCGCGCGCGGGUGGUUUCUUAAGUCUGAUGUGAAAGCCCACGGCUCAACCGUGGAGGGUCAUUGGAAACUGGGACACUUGAGUGCCUAAGAGGAAAGUGGAAUUCCAUGUGUAUCGGUGAAUUGCGUAGAGAUAUGGAGGAACACCAGUGGCGAAGGCGACUUUCUGGUCUGUAACUGACACUGAGGCGCGAAAGCGUGGGGAGCACACAGGAUUAGAUACCCUGGUAGUCCACGCCGUAAACGAUGAGUGCUAAGUGUUAGAGGGUUUCCGCCCUUUAGUGCUGAACUUAACGCAUUAAGCACUCCGCCUGGGGAGUACUGCCGCAAGGUUGAAAUUCAAGGAAUUGACGGGGGCCCCCCCAAGCGGUGGAACUUGUGGUUUAUUCCAAAUCACCGCUAAAAAACCUUACAAGGACUUGGAUAUCCUC
RNAcentral lists this ribosomal RNA (588 nucleotides) under uncultured Bacillus sp. RNAcentral's name for it is "bacterial SSU rRNA". It matches the Rfam family "Bacterial small subunit ribosomal RNA", at positions 414 to 992 of the family's 1533-position model. The record is from RNAcentral. Lineage: Bacteria; Bacillati; Bacillota; Bacilli; Caryophanales; Bacillaceae.